UUUUUUUUUUUUUUUUUUUUCACCUCUUUAGUUAGUAUUUCAGGAAAGUAAUCAAAUUGUUCCUGGAACUAAAGGUUUUUUUUUGUUGUUGUUGUUUUUUGGUUUUUUUUUAUAUAUAUAUAUAUAUACUGGGUUCUGGGCUUUUUGUUUGUUAUGUUUUGUUUUGUUUUUCAAGACAGGGUUUCUCUGUGUAGCCCUGACUGUCCUUGAAUUUGCUCUUUAGACCAGGCUGGACUUGAACUCAGAGAUCCACCUGCCUCUGCCUCUGGAGUGCUGGGGUUAAAGGUGUGCACCACACCCACCAGGCUUUAUAUACUGGUUUUUUAAGAUUGGGUGGUGGUGGUAUUUCACCUGAAUGUAAGUGUGUAUAUUAUGUAUAUGCCUGGUGCCUGGGAGGCCAGAAGAAGGUGUCAGAUCCUCUGGAACUGGGGUUACAGACAGUUGUUAGCCACCAUGUUGGUGCUGGGAACUGAACCUGAGUUCUCUGGAAGAGCAGCCUGUGCUUAGCUUAGCUGUCUCUCCAGCCCUGGAACUAAAAGUUUAACUUGGGGCGAUAGUAGAUACACUGUGGUCUGUAUGAGAAGUAGCAAGCCUCCUGGCCAUCUCACAGACAGGCUGUUAACACUGCUUUUGAAAAUAGUUUAUGUUUAUUCAGAAGAGAACAAAGUGUCGUCAGAAUGAAGACGCUGUGCGGAGGGAGAGUUUCCCUUUUCAGAAUCAUCUUUUUUAAGAAAGGAAGAAAGGGAGAAGGCGAAGCUUCCGCCCUACACCAUCUCCCUUGUGCAUCAUCUCAACACUUGCAGACUGCUAGGAGUCGGGAAAAGCAGCUUUGUCCUGCCAUUGCUUCGUUAGAGCCUUGAAUGCCAGGCUAGAUUGUAGAGCAUCCCUCUCACGCCCUAGGCAUUUUUCUUGAGGGAUGGAGUUAUCAGGGCUCCGGGGAUAGAACCCAGGGCUUCAUGCAUGCCAAGCAUGUACUCUACCUCUGAACUGCACCCCCAGCUCCUGCUUCAAGCUUUAAAACUCUUAGGAAACAGUUGAAAUAGAGUGAAAAAUAUUUUCUCAAGGAACUUCAGAAUUCACCCAUGAAUUAUUUUUGUAGUGGUUUCACAAAAUGAGUUAAAAAUAAUUACCAAUAUUUAUGAUGUUUUUAAAGUGUUAACUAAUGAUAUUAAUAUUAACUCAGCAUUUAGUUUGGUUACAGAGUACUACAACAGGACUCAACAAUAGAAAUUCAUAGGAAACUUCUGUGGGAGAAGUUGGGGAGAGUAUCAGGAAAAAACAAUGUUAAAAUUAUAUUUAUAGGUACAUUAAAGAUCUAUGGUAUAGUAUUUCUGUUUCAUUGACAGAUGCAAUUUUAAAUGGUUUGCUUUAUUUUAAAGUGGCACUACAAAAUGUAUCAGAAAUUACAUUAUUACAAUCAUAUAAGCUUUAAUGGAACAUUCUAGAAGUCAAUUUAUAUGUGUGAGAAGAUAUCAGUUUUUUUUUAAUCUUCGAGGCUGUGAGAGCAGAAUUUUUAGAAACAGUUGACAUAAGCAGUCCAUUCACUGCUCCUGUUCUUGACCUCCUCACCUUAACCUGCCAUUUCCACCUUGACCACCUUCUUUCAUCCAGACACAACAGCUGCCAGUUUCCAAGUCUGUGACCACGAUUGUACUCUUCUUGCUCCCCUUCAGACCUCCGGUUCUUCCAGAAGAUGAUUAACUCAAUUGUUUCACUCAAAACAAGAGCAAAGUUCAUCAGAGCUCUCUACUGCUGCUUCGUGUGUGUGUGUGUGUGUGUGUGUGUGUGUGUGUGUGUGUGUGUGUGUAUACUUGUGGAAGCCUUGAAGUUGAUGUUGUGUCUUCUAUUUCUCUCCAUUUUGUUCAUUGAGGCAGGGUCUCUCACUGAACCUGGAGCUUGCCAAUCCUGGCUGAUCUAGCUAGCCAGCUUGCCGCAGGGGCCCUUGUGUCUACCUCCAGAGUUCUGGGAUUGUAGAGAGGGCCUGCACACCUACCUGGUUUUUAUGUGGGGCUGGGAGUCCAUGUUCUGCUCCCCAUGCUUGUACAGCAAGCGAUCUCCCCGCUCUGCCGCCUCCCCAGGCCCUCCGGCUGCUGCGUCCUCUGGUGCUCCCUACCUCUCAUCCCCCGGACUGGUGGCUGUUCUCAGAUCCAGACUCUCGGUUUGUGCAUAGGAACUUCAUUCCUAAAAUGGUUCCCUCAAUUAUCUAGGUUUCUCCUCCUCCUGGGUUUUUCCUUUGUACUGUUAUGUUUCUAAUCUUAAAAACUAGAGCCGGGCGGUGGUGGCGCAUGCCUUUAAUCCCAGCACUUGGGAGGCAGAAGCAGGCGGGAUCUCUGUGAGUUCGAGGCCAGCCUGGUCUACAAAGCGAGUUCCAGGAAAGGUGCAAAGCUACACAGAGAAACCCUGUCUCGAAAAACCAAAAAAAAACAAACAAAAGAACAGGGCUGGAGAGAUGGCUCAGUGCUUAAGAGCACUGAAUGCUCUUCCAGACGACCAGGGUUCAAUCCCCAGGACCCACAUGGCAGCUCAUAACUGUAACUCCAGUUUCCUGGAAAAACACCAAUGCACAUAAAGAAAUAAAAUUAAUUAAAAAACUAGAAAGAACAAUCAAGAUAAUAGUCCCACAUCCCAUGCUAACUGCGCUGUGUGUGUGUGUGUGUGUGUGUGUGUGUGUGUGUGUGUGUGUUUUGCCAUAACUUUAUGGUUGUUUUUUGUUCUUAAUCUGAGGAGCUGAAGAGAUGGCUUACAAAGUUAAGAAUAGCACUUGCUGCUCUUCCAGAAGCCCUGGGUUCCAUUCCCAGCACCCACUGGCUGCUCACAGCUGUUGGUAAUUCCAGUUCCAUGGCAUCUAAUGCUUGCACUCAUACAGACCUACGCAAAUACACAUAAACAAAAAUAAUUCUUUUUAAAUUCUGUUUUUCUGUCUUCACUGUCCUUGCUGGAGUGGCUCUGUCUGGUAUACUAAAUGACACUGCUUUCACAGUAUCAGAUUUGACUUCUCCGUCAUGAUCUUUUCCUGCUAACACCUGACACAGCUCCCCCAUCUAAACAUGCACUCUCAGCCUCCAGAGUUUAAAAUACUCUCGUUCUUCCCGUUGCCUGUGGUUCCAUCUCAUUCUGUCCUAAGUACUGCGGUGUUCUAGGCUAGGCCUUCAGGACUGUCUACGAUCCUUGGAAAGCUCAUGCUCUCUGGUGCCUCUACUCAGAAUCUGAUGACUCCCAGAGGCCUGCCAGCAUCCCAGCUACCACAUCCAGGCUCGCACAUUCAACUGCCCCCAGCACUUCUUCCUCAUGGCAACUGGACAUCUCACACUUGCCACAGGAUUUUCAUACCCCCGUUAGACGGCUGUACUUCUCUGCCUUCUUGUCUGUGGAGAAUGACAGUUCCACCUUGAGUUUCUCAGGCUAAGAUCUGUGAAGUCAGCUUUUCCUCAUAGACCCUGCGACUAUUUCGUCCACAUGUUCUGUCAGCCCAUCAAAAUAUAUCCAUCAGCCCGCCUUCCUGCUCCUCCCCUCAUCUAGGCCACCCCAGUCACCUCUGUCAGGACUGCCACAGUAGCCCCCCAGUCUGUCUUCUUGCGCCCACUUAGUCCUGUCUCAUUAUUGCCUCCAAAUUGGCUAAACCGAUCGGGCUGAAUCAGUCUUUCCUCUUCAUAAAUUCCUGCAGUGGCUUCUUAUGUAAACUCCAAAGGUCUCGUAGUGGUCUAAACAGCCCCCUCUUCGUCAGGCUUCAAGCCCCGACUUCUAGCCUUCUCCUUUUGCCCACUCUGGUCCAGCCACGUUGACCACCCGUGCACCUCCAGGACUCUCAGCCACAGACCUGUACACAUCUUCCCUCUUCUUCAACACCUCUGUCUCCCAUUUCCAGUUUGCUUGCUCCUUCUCUCCUUCUCCAGAGGCCACUCCCCGAACACUCAUGUUCAAAAUGCCCCGUGUUCCUCCACCCCACGAAACCUUAGCCAGCCUCGUCUAUGACGGGAGAAAGAUCCUAACUCUGUACUCUCACCAGAGGAUGGCUAUCUAGACUUUACCUCCUCACAGAAUUUAAUAUUUUUCAUCCAGCCAAAAUGAUGAGCCUAAAGUUUAAGUUUGUGAGAGUGUAUAAAGACAUAAAUAGAAAAAACCCGAAUGAAAGGAGAUUUUCCAAGGACAUAUUAUUUACUUUACAUUCUUUUCUCCUCUUCCUUUCUUUCUUUCUUUCUUUCUUUCUUUCUUUUUUUUUUUUUUUUGUAAGUUUCUUAUUUGAAUGUUUCCUCCCACUAAAAUGUAAGCUCCUUGAGAGCAGGAACUGUGUGUGUCCCAUCCGCCACCCAACAGCUGUAUUUUCAGUGACACACAGUCAGUUCUUAAUAAAUAUUUUUUGAAUAA
Long non-coding RNA from Peromyscus californicus insignis, 4365 nucleotides. RefSeq lists it as uncharacterized. Lineage: Eukaryota; Metazoa; Chordata; Mammalia; Rodentia; Cricetidae. The record is from RefSeq and is a predicted model, not a curated record. The transcript is spliced from 2 exons.